Molecule: ribosomal RNA, 1024 nt
Filed under: Chitinivibrionales bacterium
Lineage: Bacteria; Pseudomonadati; Fibrobacterota; Chitinivibrionia; Chitinivibrionales
Description: bacterial SSU rRNA
Rfam family: Bacterial small subunit ribosomal RNA
Source: RNAcentral
UAUGGAGAGUUUGAUCCUGGCUCAGAACGAACGCUGGCGGCGUGCUUAAUACAUGCAAGUCGUGCGAGAAAGUCGUCUUCGGAUGACGAGUAAAGCGGCGAACGGGUGAGUAACACGUAAGGAAUCUGCCCCUGAAUCCGGAAUAACAUUGCUAACGCAGUGCUAAUACCGGAUGUGGUCUCGUUAUCGCAUGGUUUCGAGAUUAAAGGUGACCUCUUCUUGAAAGUUUCUGUUCAGGGAUGACCUUGCGGCCCAUUAGUUUGUUGGCGGGGUAAUGGCCCACCAAGACUGCGAUGGGUAGCCGGCCUGAGAGGGUGAUCGGCCACAUUGGGACUGAGAUACGGCCCAGACUCCUACGGGAGGCAGCAGUAGGGAAUUUUGCGCAAUGGACGAAAGUCUGACGCAGCAACGCCGCGUGAGGGAUGAAGGUUCUCGGAUCGUAAACCUCUGUUGAGUGGGAAGAAACGUGGAAUGGUUAAUACCCAUUUUGCCUGACGGUACCACUCGAGGAAGCCCCGGCUAACUACGUGCCAGCAGCCGCGGUAAUACGUAGGGGGCAAGCGUUGUUCGGAAUCACUGGGCGUAAAGAGAGCGUAGGCGGAAGUAUAAGUCGGAUGUGAAAUCUAUUGGCUUAACCGGUAGCUUGCAUCCGAUACUGUAUUUCUUGAGUAUUGGAGAGGGCGAUGGAAUUCCAGGUGUAGCGGUGGAAUGCGUAGAUAUCUGGAAGAACACCAGUUGCGAAGGCGGUCGCCUGGCCAAAUACUGACGCUGAGGCUCGAAAGCUAGGGGAGCGAACAGGAUUAGAUACCCUGGUAGUCCUAGCUGUAAACGAUGGACACUAGAUGCCGGUUGAGUCAAUCCGAUCGGUGUCGUAGCUAACGCGUUAAGUGUCCCGCCUGGGGAGUACGCUCGCAAGGGUGAAACUCAAAGGAAUUGACGGGGGUCCGCACAAGCGGUGGAGCAUGUGCUUUAAUUCGAUGCAACGCGAAGAACCUUACCUGGGUUUGACAUGGGAGUGAAACUC